UCGAGAAUUUUUCACAAUGGGGGAAACCCUGAUGGAGCGACGCCGCGUGGAGGAUGAAGGCCUUUUGGUCGUAAACUCCUGUCAUGCGAGAACAAGAAAGUGAUAGUAUCGCAAGAGGAAGAGGCGGCUAACUCUGUGCCAGCAGCCGCGGUAAUACAGAGGCCUCAAGCGUUGUUCGGAUUCAUUGGGCGUAAAGGGUGCGUAGGUGGCUUGUUAAGUUGAAGGUGAAAUCUCGGGGCUCAACUCCGAAACUGCCUUCAAUACUGGCGAGCUCGAGGAUUGUAGAGGAGAAUGGAAUUCACGGUGUAGCAGUGAAAUGCGUAGAUAUCGUGAGGAAGACCAGUGGCGAAGGCGAUUCUCUGGGCAAUUCCUGACACUGAGGCACGAAGGCCAGGGGAGCAAACGG
RNAcentral lists this ribosomal RNA (406 nucleotides) under uncultured bacterium. RNAcentral's name for it is "bacterial SSU rRNA". It matches the Rfam family "Bacterial small subunit ribosomal RNA", at positions 355 to 775 of the family's 1533-position model. The record is from RNAcentral.